RNAcentral lists this transfer RNA (27 nucleotides) under Turdus xanthorhynchus. Its description in RNAcentral is "partial tRNA-Trp". Lineage: Eukaryota; Metazoa; Chordata; Aves; Passeriformes; Turdidae. The record is from RNAcentral.
AGAAACUUAGGAUCACCUAAACCGAAG